AACUGUCUGCCCGAUUCGCGGACUGUGCACAUAUAACCCUACACUCAUCGAUUUGGGAGCCCCCCUCCGCCUGCGGAUUGCAGACCUCCCGGCCCGGCGCGCCCCGCGCUGCCGGGUUGGACGAAGGGAGCGUGAACCAUGCGGGAGGGCACCCACCUGUCUUCCUUGUAGGCAGGUUAUUGAGUUGCACAUUACGGUCGGGCGGGCUAACU
This 212-nucleotide non-coding RNA is filed under the name Acutalibacter sp. Its description in RNAcentral is "6S RNA". It matches the Rfam family "6S / SsrS RNA". From Rfam's summary of the family: E. coli 6S RNA was the first non coding RNA to be sequenced, but its function was unknown until recently. It consists of 184 nucleotides that fold into an extended hairpin structure with a large single-stranded internal bulge. The record is from RNAcentral. Lineage: Bacteria; Bacillati; Bacillota; Clostridia; Eubacteriales; Acutalibacteraceae.